RNA transcript from Helianthus annuus (common sunflower), 1149 nucleotides. It is a transcript of the gene named kinesin-like protein KIN-12B, with no coding region annotated. The record is from RefSeq and is a predicted model, not a curated record. Lineage: Eukaryota; Viridiplantae; Streptophyta; Magnoliopsida; Asterales; Asteraceae. The transcript is spliced from 6 exons.
UGCCCCUCUUGUUGAAAACUGUCUUGCUGGAUUCAACACCUCAAUAUUUGCAUAUGGGCAAACUGGGAGCGGGAAGUACUACACGAUAUGGGGACCGACCAAUACGUUGUUAGAAGAGAAUGCGUAUGGUAACGAACAAGGAUUGACGUCCCGUGUUUUCGCACGAUUAUUUUCUCGCAUAAAUGAGGUGUCUUUAUGUCAUAUUUCUUGUAUUAUCAGAUGUGAAUUUAUAACAUACGUGUGUCUCUGAAUUAGUUGUGGUUUGUUUAUAUCUUUUAGGAACAAAAUACACAUGCUGACAAACAACUACAUAUCAGUGCCGAUGUUCGUUUCUCCAGAUCUAUAACGAACAACUCACCGACUUGCUGAAUCCAUCUCAAAGAAAUCUUCAUCUACAAGAGGAUAAUAAAACUGGAGUGUACGUUGAGAAUUUAAACGAGCGCAGCCGCAACGAGUGUAGCCGCCGCGUAUUGUUGGACCGGGUUUGAUUUUUAUAAUUACAGACGGACAUAAAACUAUUGAAGGAAGGUGUGCUGGUCAUUUAGAUCGGAUGUUCAUUUGUAUGCUUCCUUUUCUGACAUGCUAGCAGCCGAGGGUCUUGCUAAAGUAUGCUUCUGUUUAUAGGACAGGUAGGCCUACAAGGCGUUCGACAAAGGGGUAGUGGUCUGAAGAUGUUAUUACAUAUCUUGCACCCAUGAAAUAUUAUUUAAAGUGUUCAGCAGUUCAAUGGUUGGAACCGGAAAAAAAUAGGCCUCAUAAGGCAGAGACAUAGAGAGGGUUUCUACAGAGAGAGAAGCUUCACAAGUGGAAGUGAUGGAUACAAUUACCAAUGGUGUGUAUCUGAAGCCUGUGGUGAUGUUCAACAACAUGGUGGAGUUAUGAUGACGAGGAAAGUAAUCUUGUUUUGCGGACUUUUUGGGAUCGUUUGAAGUCGUUUAUGGUAGAGGUUAGGGGACUGGUGUGAUUUUUAAAUGUGUUUGAGAUGGGAUUUUGAGUGAUGAAAGAUGGAGUGUGUUGUUUGAAGUUGGGGAACUGAAAGUAGUUUCGAGGUUUAAAAUGAGACCUUUGAUUGUUUGAAGUAUAUAUGUUUAAAAUUGUGAAACUAAAAAAUUAUUGGAUCUUUUCUAUAAAAACAAUUAAUCUUAAAAA